RNAcentral lists this ribosomal RNA (200 nucleotides) under uncultured bacterium. Its description in RNAcentral is "partial 16S ribosomal RNA". It matches the Rfam family "Bacterial small subunit ribosomal RNA", at positions 30 to 242 of the family's 1533-position model. The record is from RNAcentral.
AUUGAACGCUGGCGGCAGGCCUAACACAUGCAAGUCGAGCGGGGUUUUCGGACCUAGCGGCGGACGGGUGAAUAAUGCGUAGGAAGCUGCCCGAUAGAGGGGGAUACCAGUUGGAAACGACUGUUAAUACCGCAUAAUGUCUACGGACCAAAGUGGGGGACCUUCGGGCCACAUGCUAUCGGAUGCGCCUACGUGGGAUU